CUUGGGUCAGUGAGUCAGAGCAUCUCACUUACGACCAGUGACAAAAAUACUGAGGGAGGCAACUGAUCACUAGAUGGGGAGCAGAUGAGCUGAUUACUGCAGGUGUGCCAGGGACCAGGAGGAUAACACCCCUGAAAGAUUUGUUGCCAUGUUUCAAGGCACCUUAAAGAACUGACUGCAAAUCCCAGAUGUGGUUCCUAACGUCAAAGCAACAAUUUCAAAGUCACCAAGAUCACAAGUUCACUGCACAUAAUUGUGGUUGUGCUACAUUCUCCAACCGCUGUUUCCCUGGACUGACUGCUGCAUUAGAUACACAAAUGCAGUCUUAAUGCUAGCUUUUAGCUGGGAACCUUUGAUUUU
This is a long non-coding RNA of Oreochromis aureus, 360 nucleotides long. RefSeq lists it as uncharacterized. The transcript is spliced from 3 exons. The record is from RefSeq and is a predicted model, not a curated record. Lineage: Eukaryota; Metazoa; Chordata; Actinopteri; Cichliformes; Cichlidae.